RNAcentral lists this ribosomal RNA (497 nucleotides) under uncultured bacterium. RNAcentral describes it as "bacterial SSU rRNA". It matches the Rfam family "Bacterial small subunit ribosomal RNA", at positions 30 to 518 of the family's 1533-position model. The record is from RNAcentral.
UGAACGCUAGCGACAGGCUAACACAUGCAAGUCGAGGGGCAUCACGGGAGUAGCAAUACAACUGGUGGCGACCGGCGCACGGGUGAGUAACGCGUAUGCAACCUACCUAUCAGAGGGGAAGUAACCCGGCGAAAGUACGGACUAAUACCGCAUAAAACAGGGGCACCGCAUGGUGAUAUUUGUUAAAGAAAUUCGCUGAUAGAUGGGCAUGCGUUCCAUUAGGUAGUUGGUGAGGUAACGGCUCACCAAGCCGACGAUGGAUAGGGAACUGAGAGGUUGGUCCCCCACACUGGUACUGAGACACGGACCAGACUCCUACGGGAGGCAGCAGUGAGGAAUAUUGGUCAAUGGGCGGGAGCCUGAACCAGCCAAGUCGCGUGAAGGAAGAAGGAUCUAUAGUUCGUAAACUUCUUUUGCAGGGGAAUAAAGUGCAGGACGUGUCCUGUUUUGUAUGUACCCUGAGAAUAAGGAUCGGCUAACUCCGUGCCAGCCGCCGC